RNAcentral lists this transfer RNA (391 nucleotides) under Aesculus x carnea. RNAcentral describes it as "partial transfer RNA-Leu". Lineage: Eukaryota; Viridiplantae; Streptophyta; Magnoliopsida; Sapindales; Sapindaceae. The record is from RNAcentral.
AAAAUCCGUCGACUUUAGAAAUCGUGAGGGUUCAAGUCCCUCUAUCCCCAAAAAAGGCCGAUUUGCCUCCCUAAUUCUCCCACCCUUUCUUUUUUUAGUAGUUCAAAAUUCGUUAUGUUUCUCAUUCAUCCUCCUUUUUUACAAACGUAUCCGAGCAAAAUUUGUUUUUUCUCUUAUCACAAUCACAAAAGGUGUGGUAUAUAUGAUAUAUGUACAAAUGAACGCUCGUGAGCAAAGAAUUCCGCUUCACAAUACAUAUGAUUGCUCAUACUGAAACUUACAAAGUUUUCUUUUUGAAGAUUCAAGAGAUGAAUUCCUCGUUCAAGACUUUUAAUACUUUUUUCAUCUUUUUUAAUUGACAUAGACCCCAGUCAUUUAGUAAAAUGAGGAU